This 498-nucleotide ribosomal RNA is filed under the name uncultured bacterium. Its description in RNAcentral is "partial 16S ribosomal RNA". It matches the Rfam family "Bacterial small subunit ribosomal RNA", at positions 30 to 523 of the family's 1533-position model. The record is from RNAcentral.
AUUGAACGCUGGCGGCAUGCCUUACACAUGCAAGUCGAACGGUAACAGGUCUUCGGAUGCUGACGAGUGGCGAACGGGUGAGUAAUACAUCGGAACGUGCCUAGUAGUGGGGGAUAACUACUCGAAAGAGUGGCUAAUACCGCAUGAGAUCUACGGAUGAAAGCAGGGGAUCGCAAGACCUUGUGCUACUAGAGCGGCCGAUGGCAGAUUAGGUAGUUGGUGGGAUAAAAGCUUACCAAGCCGACGAUCUGUAGCUGGUCUGAGAGGACGAUCAGCCACACUGGGACUGAGACACAGCCCAGACUCCUACGGGAGGCAGCAGUGGGGAAUUUUGGACAAUGGGCGAAGGCCUGAUCCAGCAAUGCCGCGUGCAGGAUGAAGGCCUUCGGGUUGUAAACUGCUUUUGUACGGAACGAAAAGCCCCGGGUUAAUACCCUGGGGUCAUGACGGUACCGUAAGAAUAAGCACCGGCUAACUACGUGCCAGCCGCCGCGGUAA